Molecule: ribosomal RNA, 485 nt
Filed under: uncultured Cellulosimicrobium sp.
Lineage: Bacteria; Bacillati; Actinomycetota; Actinomycetes; Micrococcales; Promicromonosporaceae
Description: bacterial SSU rRNA
Rfam family: Bacterial small subunit ribosomal RNA
Source: RNAcentral
AGAGUUUGUAUCCUGGCUCAGGACGACGCUGGCGGCGUGCUUAACACAUGCAAGUCGAACGAUGAUGCCCAGCUUGCUGGGCGGAUUAGUGGCGAACGGGUGAGUAACACGUGAGUAACCUGCCCUUGACUUCGGGAUAACUCCGGGAAACCGGGGCUAAUACCGGAUAUGAGCCGUCCUCGCAUGGGGGUGGUUGGAAAGUUUUUCGGUCAGGGAUGGGCUCGCGGCCUAUCAGCUUGUUGGUGGGGUGAUGGCCUACCAAGGCGACGACGGGUAGCCGGCCUGAGAGGGCGACCGGCCACACUGGGACUGAGACACGGCCCAGACUCCUACGGGAGGCAGCAGUGGGGAAUAUUGCACAAUGGGCGAAAGCCUGAUGCAGCGACGCCGCGUGAGGGAUGAAGGCCUUCGGGUUAUAAACCUCUUUCAGCAGGGAAGAAGCGCAAGUGACGGUACCUGCAGAAGAAGCGCCGGCUAACUACGUG